Molecule: unclassified non-coding RNA, 253 nt
Filed under: uncultured Alphaproteobacteria bacterium
Lineage: Bacteria; Pseudomonadati; Pseudomonadota; Alphaproteobacteria
Description: contains 16S-23S intergenic spacer region
Rfam family: Bacterial small subunit ribosomal RNA
Source: RNAcentral
UACGAAGGGGGCUAGCGUUGUUCGGAAUCACUGGGCGUAAAGCGCACGCAGGCGGAUUGUCUAGUCGGGGGUGAAAUCCCGAGGCUCAACCUCGGAACUGCCUUCGAUACUGGCGAUCUCGAGUCCGGGAGAGGUGAGUGGAACUCCGAGUGUAGAGGUGAAAUUCGUAGAUAUUCGGAAGAACACCAGUGGCGAAGGCGGCUCACUGGCCCGGUACUGACGCUGAGGUGCGAAAGCGUGGGGAGCAAACAGG